This is a long non-coding RNA of Oncorhynchus nerka (sockeye salmon), 2168 nucleotides long. RefSeq lists it as uncharacterized. The record is from RefSeq and is a predicted model, not a curated record. NCBI's taxonomy places the organism in Eukaryota, Metazoa, Chordata, Actinopteri, Salmoniformes, Salmonidae. The transcript has 5 exons.
UAAUUAUUCUGACAACAGCCGAGGGGCUAGCUACCCCAAACUGAAUGAUAAAAGUGACUAGAACUAGUUGAUUCAUCACCACGGUCAUUUUCUGUGGAGUAUAUGGCUGCUCAAACGAGGCCGGAAACACAAAGGGGGGAAAAGAUGUUUACAGAUUCCACGCAAUCAUGAAACACCAUUUUGGCAAUACCAAUGAGAUAAGACUCAAGAACUCAGAGAAGCGAAGAAACCUUUUUGCCCGUCAAGACCUCAACCCAGACAGCUGUCAAUACAGGGUUUGCUACGAUCAUUUCAUCAUUGAUGGCCAAGGAAGUUGCAGAGAACUUCCCCAACAUCGCCUUCCAAAUUGAUAUGGAACCUUCAAAAACACAUGGAGCAACUGCGGAAAGAAAUGGCAGAGGAUAGACAAAAAAUGUCUGAGUUCAACAAAGUCAACAACUGCUUCAUGUGUGCCACUGAUAAAGAACCUGGAUGUGGCACAAAGACUGACUGGCGUUCCAACGGUGAUGUGCUGUGCCUAGGAAUGAAGACAAGAGUUCAACAGAGUAAAGAACACAAACUGGAAGUGCUGUCUUUGUUGUUAAAAAUUAGGUUCACCAGCUGACCUAUAUCAAGACACCCAUGUUGACUGGAUUCCCCUGUGAAGAUGAGUAAUGCUGCAGCAGCAUCAGUUUCUACUACUUCUUCAUCUUUUACCAGACAUGAAAGAAGACUCCCCACAGUUAUAUGACAUGGUUGUCAUAUGCUGUGCUUUGGACAAUUUGAAUGAUUCUGUUGUGUCAAUUGAGUAGAGCACCUUGUCAUGACAAAAGUGCCCCCUUAAACUGUAUGAAUAUAAUGUAUUUGGAACGUUUAAAAGACUUGUUGAUAUUGUAAACAUACUGUACUUUAAGCCAUGUUGUUGUCCAAGUGUAAAGACAAGUAUUUUGUCAUCUUUGCUUUGCCUAGCCCCAUUGAAUAAAAAGUAUUUCUUAUGGCCCAACUGUUGCCAUGUUCCUUGCUUUUCAGAAACGUGGUUCUGAAACCAGAUGCACCCCAUGGCUAUCCAACUCCAUGGAUUCUUCAUUCACCGGGCAGACAGGAUAGUGGCGUCGGCUAUCCAACUCGAUGGAUUCUUCAUUCACCGGGCAGACAGGAUAGUGGCGUCGGGGAGAGGCUGCCUUUCUGGUUCCGCUCAUUUUAAUUUGGCGUCACUAAAUCAAAAAGAUAUAUAAUUCACAUGCGCCAAAUACAACAGGUAUAGAUAGACCUUACAGUGAAAUGCUUACUUACAAGCCCUUAACCAACAAUGCAGUUAAGAAAAAUAAGUGUUAAAGUAUUUACUGAAAUAAACUGAAGAAAAUAAUGAAUUAAAAAAUUAAGGUGCAACAAUAAAAUAACAUUAGUCGAGGUAAUAUGUACAUGUAGGUAGAGGUAAAGUGACUAUGUUUGUAUAAUAAACAGAGUAGCAGAAAAGGUUUGUCAUGGGCUCUCAAAUCCUGAAACGGUUCUACAGCUGUACCUUUGAGAGCAUAUGGACUGGCUGCAUCACUGCUUGGUAUGGUAAUAGCAUCGCCCUCGAUCACAUGGCGCUACAGAGGGUUGUGCGAGCAGCCCAGUACAUCACUGAGGCCGAGCUCCCUGCCAUCCUGGACCUCCAUAUCAGGUGAAAGACCCCAACCACCCAAGCCAUAUAUUCUCUGCUGCAGCACAGCAAGAGCUUGAACAGCUUCUAUCCCCAAGCAAUACGACUGAUAAUUAGCUAACAGAAUUGCUACACGGACCAAGUUUACCUUGCAUCUUUAUUGACCUUUUAUUUCAGUGUUUUGCACCAUCUAUGCACACUCACAGGGCCCUACACACGGUCACUCCAAAACAAACACUCCAUUUUCUCACUCACACAUAAUAUGCACAUACAUUUAUACAAGCUGCUGUUACUCUGUUUAUCUUAUAUCCUGUUGCCUAAUCACCUUACCCCUAUACAUAUCUACCUCCAUCACCCCAGUAUCCCUGCACAUGUAAAUAUGGUAUUGGAACAAACUCUUUUAAUAUUUCCUGUAUAUAGUAUGUUUGUUUACUUUAUUGUGUAUUUCAUAUUUCUUGUGUGCUUUUUUCUAGAAAUACAUUUGAUUAUUGCAUUGUUGGUUUUUGAGUUUGCAUUAAUUAAAGGCAUUUUACUGCGCAUGUGA